This 26-nucleotide non-coding RNA is filed under the name Mus musculus (house mouse). The record is from RNAcentral. Lineage: Eukaryota; Metazoa; Chordata; Mammalia; Rodentia; Muridae.
UGGAAGCCGAUAUCGUAGAUUUGCCC